CGUGCUCAUUGUUAGUUCUAGCAUCAUAUAUUCAUAUGUCAAAUUGCAGUUGGGGGUUAGGUCGACAUAGUAUCUACAUCUACAGUUCUUUUUUUUCACAAGGGAGAACAUUUCUUUAUUAUUUGUGAAACAACUAAAUUUUGUUCCUAAGCUGCAGUGUGCUUGAUAUCUCACUGAGUGCACAACGCAAUGUUUUUUUGGUAGUUGUGGUUGUUUCCUAAGCUGUAGUAGAUACCAAGCUCUUUAAUAGUGUAUUUUGAUCAAACUUUGUGUCGUGCUUGCUUCUUCGCAAAAAUAAAUUUGGGUAAGAUCAGGUGCUCUGUCAUCGAUACAUGGCAGAUUUUUUGUUUGUUUCUUCAGAGUGCAAUCAUGUUUUGGUCUAUAUGGCUAUACUUACUUUUCAAGAGAGCUGGUGGUGAAUGCUUUCUCACCAAAAGGGGGUUUGGUGUUUGCAGCUUCUUCUGAAUAAUCAUAAGCUACUUAGUGCACUUUUGAUGCAUUUGAUCUGUCCCAUCUAGCAAGUUCCUUUUGGGUAUAAAUGCAAGUUUUUUGUAGCUUAUGUUUUAUAAUUCAAGUACUAGCACGUCACUGUAUCAUGUGUCCUGAGCACGGUGACAGCCUCCCUGACCACAUUGCUGCUGGUUAUUGUGGAUCCAUGUUGUAAGAAGCUUUUCAUGGUGGCUCAAAGAGGUGGCAUGGAGAGGAAGAAAAAUAUGUGGGUGUCAUGCUCGAUUUUGUCUUUGCCAGUGGAAGGGUGACUACGGCGAGGUUCCAGCCUGUCCACUGUGAGGAUAUCGGCAGUCACUUAUGAACAAGGCUUGGCACAUAACUCUUUGCAUGGAAAUCUUUAAUUGGUGUUCCAUGUGCCCGACGAGCGACCAAAGACAAGUGACAAAAAGGACUUGCCCGCUGGCAAGUAGGGCAUUGGUGAAAAAUCUUCCUGGUUUGUUUUCCUUGGCCAUGGAACGCACAAUCAUGCACUCGAUGGUCUUUAUUCUCCAUGUGUGAGGACAGCAUGUACUCACUAUAGCAGAUGACAGCAAUCUUCAUGCCAUAGCGUUGUAACUAAGCUUCAUGUGAAGCUUACCAUAACUGUUCACUUUUUAAUGGUUGGAUCAUUCAGUUUAGGAGUAUGAUGCAUUGAACAUAAGAGAUUGACUGAUGGAGGGUCUGAUUACCUUGGGAGAUGUGAUCUCAAUGUUAGUUCACGUAUCAUCCUUUUUAUUGAGAGGGAAGAUAUUCUACAUGUAUAGCAAUUCACUUCGAUUGCAGUGUCCCUACCCGAAGUUCAUCCAUGGCUACUUGGCUGAUUAGUGCCCUUCCUGCCAAGAUUCACCAUUGACAUUAUCUAUUUGAUUUAUGUAAUCCACCAUGCAAGCACAAUUGUUUUUCCCCUUUCGAAAUAAACUGAGUAGUGCACAUCCAGCAUAGGUAAGCCUACUACAUAUUUGUUGUUGAAUGGAAUUCCCACCAAGAAAAUGAUAAUCUAUGAGAAGAAUGGCAGUCUGUUGGUCAAGAAACAACCUGGUGACUUCAGAUAUUUUGCAUUUCCAGAUUAGCAACUCUAUUCAUCAUAUUAAAAUUAAUAACAAAUUCAAUUUAUCCACCGUAAAUGAAUAAUAAUCUAAUGGGUCUAUGUUCUGUUAAAAUACUUGAUAUGAUAUUGAGGUAUGCUCCCCUGUUUUCAUCCAUGCACUAUGUAUAUGUAGACUGACAUUAUAAGCUCUGAUCAUGAAUGCAUAAAUGUGACAUUAGUCCAAAUAUUUCAGACAUAAACAGUUGCCAUGAAAGGUUAUAUUUUGUGCUGGAUGGAUAUUUGUGUACAGAAAAGAUAAACGUAUUCUUUAUUAACCCAGGGCUGGAUGUACAGGGGGUGGUAGUGAGCUGUUUAGUUACUGAUCUUGCUUGUGUUGCUCUGGUUGAGGUUCCUUUGUUUCAUAUAUGAGCUAUAAAAGAGUUAAUUAACGGUGACGAUUAAAAUGGCCUUUUAUUAUGUAUGUUUGUCUGCAUAGUUGUUUAUGUUCUGUAUGGGAAUAUACAUUACUUCUACUGGGUUUAG
Triticum aestivum (bread wheat) is the source of this 2059-nucleotide long non-coding RNA. RefSeq lists it as uncharacterized. The transcript is spliced from 3 exons. The record is from RefSeq and is a predicted model, not a curated record. NCBI's taxonomy places the organism in Eukaryota, Viridiplantae, Streptophyta, Magnoliopsida, Poales, Poaceae.